This 548-nucleotide long non-coding RNA is filed under the name Homo sapiens (human). RNAcentral's name for it is "non-protein coding lnc-NTSR2-5:17". The record is from RNAcentral. Lineage: Eukaryota; Metazoa; Chordata; Mammalia; Primates; Hominidae.
AGUCCUGGAAAUGAUCUUGAUGCUAUCUGUUCCUCGUUACAGCAGACCUGCUCAACUUCAGCAGCUAGAAGGAGGAUUGUCUUUCACCAGCUGCAGGAGCCUGUUCCCACUACAAGCCUGGUGGAGUCUUCGGAGCAGAUGUGACUGUCCUACUUGUAUAGAGAAGAGAAACUGAGGCUCAGAAGAGAUGCCUGGCUGAGUUUAAUAGGACUGCAACAACAAUUUUGCCUUUCUACUUUCUGGUACAGUGGUCUUUCCUUUGCCAUCAUGCCUCAGCAUAUCCAUACCGUUUGCAAAGAAAUUUCCUAAACAUCACCACUGAGGCUCCUUCCAGCAAUGACUCUGGUCCAUCAUUGGGAUUGCUGAGCAGCUGUUUCAUAACAUGAACAAGGAUGUUUUAACCAUGUUUCUUGACCUGGCCAUUUGGAUCCCAAGGAUGUUUUGGUCCAAGAAUAAAUUCCAGAGCUUAGCUCACCGAAGAAGACAGGAAAACUUGUCAGAUGGGGAAGGAUGUGUCAAGAGCAUGCACACAGAUUUACUCUUCAGCU